UCGAGAAUCUUCGGCAAUGGGCGAAAGCCUGACCGAGCGAUGCCGCGUGUGGGAUGAAGGCCUUCGGGUUGUAAACCACUGUCGUAGGGGAUUAAUGGUAGGUGGGUUCUCCCAUCUAUUUGAACGAUCCUAGGAGGAAGGACGGGCUAAGUUCGUGCCAGCAGCCGCGGUAAGACGAACCGUCCAAACGUUAUUCGGAAUCACUGGGCUUACAGAGUUCGUAGGCGGUCCGGUAAGUUAGGUGUGAAAUCCCUCGGCUCAACCGAGGAACUGCGCUUGAUACUGCCGGACUCGAGGGAGAUAGAGGAAAGCGGAACUGAUGGUGGAGCGGUGAAAUGCGUUGAUAUCAUCAGGAACACCGGUGGCGAAGGCGGCUUUCUGGGUCUCUUCUGACGCUGAGGAACGAAAGCUAGGGUAGCGAACGGGAUUAGAUACCCCCGUAGUCC
This 446-nucleotide ribosomal RNA is filed under the name uncultured bacterium. Its description in RNAcentral is "bacterial SSU rRNA". It matches the Rfam family "Bacterial small subunit ribosomal RNA", at positions 355 to 796 of the family's 1533-position model. The record is from RNAcentral.